CCUCAGUCUAUUCAACAUAAAGAUGACGAAGAUAAAAACCUUUAUGAUGAUCUACUUCCACUUAAUGAAAACAUCCAUCCAGUGAUGUAAUGGUGGUUAACAGCCAGAGAAGGCAACCAAAACCUUCAGUCUUUGUUUUCUUCAGGAAUUCAGUGUCUUGCAUCAGG
Long non-coding RNA from Cercocebus atys (sooty mangabey), 167 nucleotides. RefSeq lists it as uncharacterized. Lineage: Eukaryota; Metazoa; Chordata; Mammalia; Primates; Cercopithecidae. The record is from RefSeq and is a predicted model, not a curated record. The transcript has 2 exons.